AUCUAAGAUAAAAAUGGCUUAGUAGAUGCAAACUAUAGCAUUUGGAGUGGAAAAGCAAUGAGGUCCUACUAUACAGCACAGGAAACUAUAUUCAGUCACCUGUGAUGAAACGUAAUGGAAGAUAACAUGAGAAAAAGAAUGUAUGUAUAUGUAUCACUGGGUCGCUUUGCUGUAUAGCAGAAAUUGACAGAACUUUGUAAAUCAACUAUAUAAAAUUUUUAAAAAUACAGCCUGUACUUGAGCCAUCUAGUUAAAUCAAUAUUCUUAUUUUUUUCACGUACAUAUGUAGUUACUUCAUAUUCCUUAUAAUCUUAUAGCUAUAACUUAAAAUAUUACUUUCCACAUUUUCACCUUAAUUUUUACCACAAAAAUACUUACAUUUUGUGAAAAUCUGUUUACCUCCCUGUUUUCCGACCUUCUCUUUGCCCACACUGUAACCAGCAUAAAAAGCCUGAGAACAUCUCUCUGUUCAUAUCUCUGUUCAUUUAAAAAUAAUAAUAGUAACAAUAAUAGCAAACACUUACUUCAUGCUUAUUAUAAGGUAGGCAUUUUUUUUUUUUUUUUUUUUUUUUUUUUUU
This 578-nucleotide long non-coding RNA is filed under the name Sus scrofa (pig). RNAcentral's name for it is "lncRNA (ENSSSCG00005040867.1)". The record is from RNAcentral. Lineage: Eukaryota; Metazoa; Chordata; Mammalia; Artiodactyla; Suidae.